This 253-nucleotide ribosomal RNA is filed under the name uncultured bacterium. Its description in RNAcentral is "partial 16S ribosomal RNA". It matches the Rfam family "Bacterial small subunit ribosomal RNA", at positions 524 to 776 of the family's 1533-position model. The record is from RNAcentral.
UACGUAGGGGGCUAGCGUUGUCCGGAUUUAUUGGGCGUAAAGAGCGUGUAGGCGGCCAAGCAGGUCCGUUGUGAAAACUGGAGGCUUAACCUCCAGACGUCGACGGAAACCGCGUGGCUAGAGUCCGGAAGAGGAGAGUGGAAUUCCUGGUGUAGCGGUGAAAUGCGCAGAUAUCAGGAAGAACACCAAUGGCGAAGGCAGCUCUCUGGGACGGUACUGACGCUGAGACGCGAAAGCGUGGGGAGCGAACAGG